GACGAACGCUGGCGGCGUGCUUAACACAUGCAAGUCGAACGGAAAGGCCCUGCUUGCAGGGUACUCGAGUGGCGAACGGGUGAGUAACACGUGGGUGAUCUGCCCUGCACUUCGGGAUAAGCCUGGGAAACUGGGUCUAAUACCGGAUAGGAGCCAGUUUUAGUGUGAGUGUUGGAAAGUUUUUUCGGUGUAGGAUGAGCUCGCGGCCUAUCAGCUUGUUGGUGGGGUAAUGGCCUACCAAGGGGGCGACGGGUAGCCGGCCUGAGAGGGUGGACGGACACAGUGGGACUGAGAUACGGCCCAGACUCCUACGGGAGGCAGCAGUGGGGAAUAUUGCACAAUGGGCGCAAGCCUGAUGCAGCGACGCCGCGGGGGGGAUGACGGCCUUCGGGUUGUAAACUCCUUUCGCUAGGGACGAAGCUUUUUGUGACGGUACCUAGAUAAGAAGCACCGGCUAACUACGUG
This 465-nucleotide ribosomal RNA is filed under the name uncultured bacterium. RNAcentral describes it as "partial 16S ribosomal RNA". It matches the Rfam family "Bacterial small subunit ribosomal RNA", at positions 28 to 507 of the family's 1533-position model. The record is from RNAcentral.